Molecule: ribosomal RNA, 253 nt
Filed under: uncultured bacterium
Lineage: Bacteria
Description: partial 16S ribosomal RNA
Rfam family: Bacterial small subunit ribosomal RNA
Source: RNAcentral
UACGUAGGUGGCAAGCGUUGUCCGGAUUUAUUGGGCGUAAAGCGCGCGCAGGCGGUGAGGUAAGUCCGUCGUGAAAUCUCCCGGCUCAACUGGGAGGGUGCGGGGGAGACUGCCUGACUGGAGGCACUCAGAGGCCGGUGGAAUUCCCGGUGGAGUGGUGAAAUGCGUAGAGAUCGGGAGGAACACCUGUGGCGAAAGCGGCUCACUGGACCAUAACUGACGCUGAUGCACGAAAGCUAGGGGAGCAAACAGG